This 1121-nucleotide ribosomal RNA is filed under the name Klebsiella aerogenes. RNAcentral describes it as "bacterial SSU rRNA". It matches the Rfam family "Bacterial small subunit ribosomal RNA", at positions 50 to 1160 of the family's 1533-position model. Lineage: Bacteria; Pseudomonadati; Pseudomonadota; Gammaproteobacteria; Enterobacterales; Enterobacteriaceae. The record is from RNAcentral.
AACGCAUGCAGUUCGAGCGGUAGCACAGAGAGCUUGCUCCUCGGGUGACGAGCGGCGGACGGGUGAGUAAUGUCUGGGAAACUGCCUGAUGGAGGGGGAUAACUACUGGAAACGGUAGCUAAUACCGCAUAACGUCGCAAGACCAAAGUGGGGGACCUUCGGGCCUCAUGCCAUCAGAUGUGCCCAGAUGGGAUUAGCUAGUAGGUGGGGUAAUGGCUCACCUAGGCGACGAUCCCUAGCUGGUCUGAGAGGAUGACCAGCCACACUGGAACUGAGACACGGUCCAGACUCCUACGGGAGGCAGCAGUGGGGAAUAUUGCACAAUGGGCGCAAGCCUGAUGCAGCCAUGCCGCGUGUAUGAAGAAGGCCUUCGGGUUGUAAAGUACUUUCAGCGAGGAGGAAGGCAUUAAGGUUAAUAACCUUAGUGAUUGACGUUACUCGCAGAAGAAGCACCGGCUAACUCCGUGCCAGCAGCCGCGGUAAUACGGAGGGUGCAAGCGUUAAUCGGAAUUACUGGGCGUAAAGCGCACGCAGGCGGUCUGUCAAGUCGGAUGUGAAAUCCCCGGGCUCAACCUGGGAACUGCAUUCGAAACUGGCAGGCUAGAGUCUUGUAGAGGGGGGUAGAAUUCCAGGUGUAGCGGUGAAAUGCGUAGAGAUCUGGAGGAAUACCGGUGGCGAAGGCGGCCCCCUGGACAAAGACUGACGCUCAGGUGCGAAAGCGUGGGGAGCAAACAGGAUUAGAUACCCUGGUAGUCCACGCCGUAAACGAUGUCGACUUGGAGGUUGUGCCCUUGAGGCGUGGCUUCCGGAGCUAACGCGUUAAGUCGACCGCCUGGGGAGUACGGCCGCAAGGUUAAAACUCAAAUGAAUUGACGGGGGCCCGCACAAGCGGUGGAGCAUGUGGUUUAAUUCGAUGCAACGCGAAGAACCUUACCUGCUCUUGACAUCCACAGAACUUUCCAGAGAUGCAUUGGUGCCUUCGGGAACUGUGAGACAGGUGCUGCAUGGCUGUCGUCAGCUCGUGUUGUGAAAUGUUGGGGUUAAGUCCCGCAACGAGCGCAACCCUUAUCCUUUGUUGCCAGCGGGUCCGGGCGGGAACUCAAAGGAGACUGCCAGUGAUA